Molecule: long non-coding RNA, 1397 nt
Filed under: Apteryx haastii (Great spotted kiwi)
Lineage: Eukaryota; Metazoa; Chordata; Aves; Apterygiformes; Apterygidae
Description: lncRNA (ENSAHAG00000004640.1)
Source: RNAcentral
GCCUGGCCGACAGCCUGGCCUCAGAGGCGUCUGAUGGGCUGCCUACCAAACGCUUCCCCAAGCGAUCCAAAAGGGUUGCUGCAAUCGCUCUAGCCACCUGUGCAAUUUCCUGCUGGAGAUCUGCAGGUGACGUCUCCRAAGGCUCUGCCCUUCUCGCGCUAGCAAAUAACCUUCCACUGAUUGCCAGGGGAGCCCUCCUUAGAACGUGCACUGACGGACGCAGCUYUUUCACCCUCUCCAGCACUUCCUCGAGCACGCUCUCAGCCAGCUCUUCCAGCUCCUGGGCUUCUGUCAGCGAAGUCCAUGCCAGCGUGGUGCGGACUUGGUGAUGCACUUCUUUCGUUACAGGCUUCUGUAAGAGAAACCAGCAGGAAGUGAUGAGUGACUGGUGAAGAAAAGGGUAGAGGAGGGGGAGGAGGUUAAGUUGUUGGACUGGACUCUCUGCGCUCUUCUGCCAUGGCUGCUGCCUGCUCUCAUGACACCUCCGCCUCUUCUCGGAGGCUSGCUUGCACCUUUUCCAGUGCUGAUGGAAAGAAGGUGAGUUUUGAGACCAAGAGGAAAAAAAUAAGUCCUUCUUCCUGCAGCACCCAGCUGCUGUCAUGCUUUGCCUGUCAGGCUGUGCCACAGGACGGAGCCGGGCAGCAUUUAACAUGCCCCGCUAAUGAGAAUCGGGCAACAGCAGGCUCUUCUCUAAGCUAACCUCUGAGCUCCUGCAGGAGGAAACUAACCCGCCAAUGGCUAAGCACYGCCACUAUUGGCCUCAGGGACGCUGCAUGCUUGGCUGCUCGCCACACGAGAAACCAGCAACAGGGACCGUGGGGACACGUGGUGCAGCUAAGGGAUUUGUGCUGAGUGUGGGAGUCUGCGAGCACAAGAGCCCACUAAGAGCGCCAGGCGCACCUGCUCCUGCUCAGCYGGCUGGGGGAGGCGUGCGUCUUCUUCAGGAGCCUCGGGCUUCUCCAUGCUCUCCGCAAUCCUGGCGAGAUACCUUGGAAGAGACAUACAGAUGGCUGAAAGAGAGCGCCUGGAGCUGUCUUGCCCAGACCRUUSCCUGCUCAGCCCCUGCCCUCCUCCUGCUCUGGGCUUCCYGGCUCCAGUGCCCCAAAGAGCUUCCAGCUGCCUUUGCCAGCCUCCAGGCACUGCUUGCACCACUCUAGGCACAACCAGCCUCUGCUCACGCAGCAACUGGGCACUUUCCUGGAACACAAGGCCCCAGGCAGCACCUCGCCGAAGGGCCACGGGCCCGCUCCGAGCGCARGCCUUCCUUGGCYGGCCCAGAGCAGCGCUCUGCUUCAGCCGCGCACCCAGGGCAGGAGAGAAGGACUUCCCUCGGCACUGCCGGCAGGCGCUGGGGGAUGACUUUCCUGGCCGCCCCCAGCCCCAGCCCUGUGAACCCU